Molecule: long non-coding RNA, 1468 nt
Organism: Gambusia affinis (western mosquitofish)
Lineage: Eukaryota; Metazoa; Chordata; Actinopteri; Cyprinodontiformes; Poeciliidae
Exons: 2
Source: RefSeq, a predicted model, not a curated record
CUUCAUGUGUUCAUUUCAUUCAUUCAGGGACAAAAACAUUAAAUGAUUUGAUUUCAUAAAAACAAUAAAAUGUUGUGGAGAAACAGAAUUUAUAAUCUCUGAUUAAAACUUUAAAUAAAACAGAAAAUAAUCCAGAAUAAAACCAUCAAAAUCUCCACUGGAUGAUGAAACUAAAUAUCUGCAGGAAGGACCGGCCACUUUAUUAGGUACACCAAUAAAUCUUAAACAUCAUCAGAGAAACAAACCAAAAGCUUUUUAAACAUUUAAUUUAGGAAACUAGAAACAAGAACUGAGAGAAAAAUAUGAUGAACCAUCGAAUCUGGACAGAAAACGGCUCCACAAACAUUUUACAUUUAUUCAGGUUAUUUAGUUCAUGUAAAAUAAAUAUUGUAUUUUUUCUUUAGGUAAAUCGAGAGCAGAGCUCAUCAGCUGGAUCACAUUAGAUGACUAAAUGGAUCAGAACCUGGUUCCCCUUUAACCAGAACAACAGAUCUGAUCUACAGACGUUAAAUUGUUACAUAGAAAAAAUCAUUUAAAGUAAAAACUGAACAAUAAAUAAACUACAUUCCUGAAUAAACUGCAGUUUGUUCAGUUUCCUUUCCUUCCAGAGUGGAUCUGGUUCAGACACUUUCUGAUCCAGAACCUUUUCCAGGAACCAGGAGAGUUUUACAGGAUAUUUUCCUCAUUAAUCAGGAUGAGAAUAAAUGAGCAGAAAUUUAAAGGCUCUGCAGGAAGAAACUACUUUGUUUUUCACCAGGAACCUCUGGCUGCAGUUUGGAGAGAAACAGGAAAACAAGAUGAACCAGUUUCACUUUGUCAUCAGAUUUAAACAGCACAGCAACCUGAUUUACUUUAACUAGACCAUUUAUAAUCUCUGAGGGCUCCUUCCAGCUGUCUGUGGUUAAAAGAUAAUAAAUCCUUCAUUUACUGUCAUUUUGACUUUAAAAACUUUUUCUGAGGCACAAAAACAUUUAAAGAUUCAAAUAGUUAAAAGUUUAUAAAGUUGGUUGUAGCUCAUUUUUAACAUUUUUAAUUAUUUUUAAAUUCUCUGGGAAAAUUUCACUAAGCAUUAUUAAAAGUUUUAGCUGAACCUGAGAAGCACACAGAACUAUUCAAAGGGCCACAAAUGGCCCCCGCGCCGCAUGUUGAACACCCCUGGUUCCAGGAAGCGGAGGCCGCAGUGCGCAUGCGUCAUCAGGAAUGGCGUCAUCAGGAAUGGCGUCAUCAGGGCGUCGAAGGAUCAAAGGAAACUUUUCUAAACGUUUUUCUGAGCGGAGAAGAAAAACUUUGUAUCCAGAGCAGCGAAAUAUCUGACAAGAAAUCACAUUUCAGCCUCUUCUGGCUACCAGAGACCAUAUCUGGACAGCAGGAGGUUCUGACGAAGGUUCGGUUCUACUGAAGGGUUCGGUUUGUUCGCUCCUCUCCGGUCGGAACCAGUUGGAUAGAAAGUUAGAACUCACCGGACCGA